Molecule: ribosomal RNA, 440 nt
Filed under: uncultured bacterium
Lineage: Bacteria
Description: partial 16S ribosomal RNA
Rfam family: Bacterial small subunit ribosomal RNA
Source: RNAcentral
CCUACGGGAGGCAGCAGUAGGGAAUAUUGCUCAAUGGGGGAAACCCUGAAGCAGCAACGCCGCGUGGAGGAUGAAGGUUUUCGGAUUGUAAACUCCUUUUGUUAGAGAAGAUAAUGACGGUAUCUAACGAAUAAGCACCGGCUAACUCCGUGCCAGCAGCCGCGGUAAUACGGAGGGUGCAAGCGUUACUCGGAAUCACUGGGCGUAAAGGGCGCGUAGGCGGGAUAGCAAGUGAGAUGUGAAAUCCUAUGGCUUAACCAUAGAACUGCAGUUGAAACUGUUAUUCUAGAGUAUGGGAGAGGUAGGUGGAAUUCUUGGUGUAGGGGUAAAAUCCGUAGAGAUCAAGAGGAAUACUCAUUGCGAAGGCGACCUGCUAGAACAUAACUGACGCUGAUGCGCGAAAGCGUGGGGAGCAAACAGGAUUAGAUACCCGGGUAGUC